RNAcentral lists this ribosomal RNA (466 nucleotides) under uncultured bacterium. RNAcentral's name for it is "partial 16S ribosomal RNA". It matches the Rfam family "Bacterial small subunit ribosomal RNA", at positions 338 to 795 of the family's 1533-position model. The record is from RNAcentral.
CCUACGGUAGGCUGCAGUGGGGAAUAUUGCGCAAUGGGCGGGAGCCUGAACCAGCCAAGUCGCGUGAAGGAAGACGGUCCUAUGGAUCGUAAACCUCUGUCAGCAGGGAAGAACGGUCACUGUGCUAAUCAGCAGUAAAUUGACGGUACCUGCAAAGUAAGCACAGGCUAACUCCGUGCCAGCAGCCGCGGUAAUACGGAGGGUGCGAGCGGUAAUCGGAAUUACUGGGGGUAAAGCGCUCGUAGGCGGUAUGUCAAGGCAAGGGUGAAAUGCCCGCGCUCAACGUUGGAACUGCCUUUGAUACUGGCGAACUGGAGAGUGUGAGAGGAUAGUGGAAUGCCAGGUGUAGGAGUGAAAUGCGUAGAGAUCUGGAGGAACAUCAGUGGCGAAGGCGACUAACUGGCACAUAACUGACGUUGAGGAGCGAAAGCGUGGGUAGCAAACAGGAUUAGAUACCCGGGUAGUC